RNAcentral lists this ribosomal RNA (394 nucleotides) under Staphylococcus pseudintermedius. RNAcentral's name for it is "partial 23S ribosomal RNA". It matches the Rfam family "Bacterial large subunit ribosomal RNA", at positions 1239 to 1631 of the family's 2925-position model. Lineage: Bacteria; Bacillati; Bacillota; Bacilli; Caryophanales; Staphylococcaceae. The record is from RNAcentral.
UUCUAAGGGCGUUGAAGCAUGAUCGCAAGGACAUGUGGAGCGCUUAGAAGUGAGAAUGCCGGUGUGAGUAGCGAAAGACGGGUGAGAAUCCCGUCCACCGAUUGACUAAGGUUUCCAGAGGAAGGCUCGUCCGCUCUGGGUUAGUCGGGUCCUAAGCUGAGGCCGACAGGCGUAGGCGAUGGAUAACAGGUUGAUAUUCCUGUACCACCAUUAUUCGUUUUAAGCGAUGGGGGGACGCAGUAGGAUAGGCGAAGCGUGCUGUUGGAGUGCACGUCCAAGCAGUGAGAUUGAGUGUUAGGCAAAUCCGGCACUCUUAAGAUUGAGCUGUGAUGGGGAGAGGAACUUGUUCCUCGAGUCGUUGAUUUCACACUGCCGAGAAAAGCCUCUAGCUAGA